AAAUUGAAGAGUUUGAUCAUGGCUCAGAUUGAACGCUGGCGGCAGGCCUAACACAUGCAAGUCGAACGGUAACAGGAAGCAGCUUGCUGCUUUGCUGACGAGUGGCGGACGGGUGAGUAAUGUCUGGGAAACUGC
This 135-nucleotide ribosomal RNA is filed under the name Escherichia coli. Its description in RNAcentral is "partial 16S ribosomal RNA". It matches the Rfam family "Bacterial small subunit ribosomal RNA", at positions 1 to 129 of the family's 1533-position model. RNAcentral also lists the same sequence under 12 other names. Lineage: Bacteria; Pseudomonadati; Pseudomonadota; Gammaproteobacteria; Enterobacterales; Enterobacteriaceae. The record is from RNAcentral.